UUGGAUGAGAGUUUGAUCCUGGCUCAGAACGAACGCUGGCGGCGUGCUUAACACAUGCAAGUCGAACGCUGAGCACUCAGCCACUGAGCCCGUUUAAAGAAAGCGGGUUGAGUGGUUGAGUGCUUGGAGUGG
RNAcentral lists this ribosomal RNA (132 nucleotides) under Actinomycetota bacterium. RNAcentral describes it as "partial 16S ribosomal RNA". The record is from RNAcentral. Lineage: Bacteria; Bacillati; Actinomycetota.